This 504-nucleotide ribosomal RNA is filed under the name uncultured bacterium. RNAcentral describes it as "bacterial SSU rRNA". It matches the Rfam family "Bacterial small subunit ribosomal RNA", at positions 26 to 518 of the family's 1533-position model. The record is from RNAcentral.
AGAACGAACGCUGGCGGCGCGUCUUAAGCAUGCAAGUCGAACGGCAAGAGGUAGCAAUACCUCCUAGAGUGGCGGACUGGUGAGUAACACGUGGGUGACAUACCCUUCAGAUGGGGAUAGCUAUUAGAAAUAGUAGAUAAUACCGAAUACGAGCACAGGGGGUUAGAGAUCUGUGAGGAAAGGAGCUAAGGCUCCGCUGAAGGAAUGGCCUGCGGCCCAUUAGCUAGUUGGUGAGGUAAGAGCCCACCAAGGCGAUGAUGGGUAUCCGGCCUUAGAGGGUGAACGGACACAUUGGGACUGAGAUACGGCCCAGACUCCUACGGGAGGCAGCAGCUAAGAAUAUUCCGCAAUGGACGAAAGUCUGACGGAGCGACGCCGCGUGGAUGAAGAAGGCCGGAAGGUUGUAAAAUCCUUUUGAAACUGAAGAAUAAGCGUUGUAGGGAAUGACAGCGUGGUGACAGUAGGUUUUGAAUAAGCAACGGCUAAUUACGUGCCAGCAGCCGC